This 443-nucleotide ribosomal RNA is filed under the name uncultured bacterium. RNAcentral's name for it is "partial 16S ribosomal RNA". It matches the Rfam family "Bacterial small subunit ribosomal RNA", at positions 338 to 795 of the family's 1533-position model. The record is from RNAcentral.
CCUACGGGUGGCAGCAGUGGGGAAUAUUGGGCAAUGGGCGCAAGCCUGACCCAGCAACGCCGCGUGAAGGAAGAAGGCUUUCGGGUUGUAAACUUCUUUUGUGAGGGACGAAGCAAGGACCGGUACCUGGCGAAUAAGCACCGGCUAACUACGUGCCAGCAGCCGCGGUAAUCCGUAGGUGGCAAGCGUUAUCCGGAUUUACUGGGGGGAAAGGGCGGGUAGGCGGGAAAGCAAGUCAGAUGUGAAAACCACGGGCUCAACCUGUGGCCUGCAUUUGAAACUGUUUUUCUUGAGUGCUGGAGAGGCAAUCGGAAUUCCGGGUGUAGCGGUGAAAUGCGUAGAUAUACGGAGGAACACCAGUGGCGAAGGCGGAUUGCUGGACAGUAACUGACGCUGAGGCGCGAAAGCGUGGGGAGCAAACAGGAUUAGAUACCCUUGUAGUC